Molecule: ribosomal RNA, 301 nt
Filed under: uncultured bacterium
Lineage: Bacteria
Description: partial 16S ribosomal RNA
Rfam family: Bacterial small subunit ribosomal RNA
Source: RNAcentral
CAGCAGCCGCGGGAAUACGUAGGGUGCAAGCGUUAAUCGGAAUUACUGGGCGUAAAGCGUGCGCAGGCGGUUCGUUAAGACAGAUGUGAAAUCCCCGGGCUUAACCUGGGAACUGCAUUUGUGACUGGCGGGCUAGAGUAUGGCAGAGGGGGGUAGAAUUCCACGUGUAGCAGUGAAAUGCGUAGAGAUGUGGUGGAAUACCGAUGGCGAAGGCAGCCCCCCGGGCCAAUACUGACGCUCAUGCACGAAAGCGUGGGGAGCAAACAGGAUUAGAUACCCGGGUAGUCCCUGUCUCUUAUAC